Molecule: long non-coding RNA, 150 nt
Organism: Lutra lutra (Eurasian river otter)
Lineage: Eukaryota; Metazoa; Chordata; Mammalia; Carnivora; Mustelidae
Exons: 3
Source: RefSeq, a predicted model, not a curated record
AAGAAUCAAACUUUAUAAUCAUCUCAACAAACACUACUAAGGGUGAAUUUAACAAAUAGAGAUAACUGGCUACUCAGCCAAUCCACAUGCACCCUUACAGAGUUCUAGUUGAUCACAAUUAGCCCACCUUAACAACGCAUUGCACACUAA